CCAUGGGGUGCCGAUAAUCGC
RNAcentral lists this non-coding RNA (21 nucleotides) under Arabidopsis thaliana (thale cress). Lineage: Eukaryota; Viridiplantae; Streptophyta; Magnoliopsida; Brassicales; Brassicaceae. The record is from RNAcentral.